Molecule: ribosomal RNA, 492 nt
Filed under: uncultured bacterium
Lineage: Bacteria
Description: partial 16S ribosomal RNA
Rfam family: Bacterial small subunit ribosomal RNA
Source: RNAcentral
AGUGAACGCUGGCGGUAGGCCUAACACAUGCAAGUCGAACGGCAGCACAGUAAGAGCUUGCUCUUACGGGUGGCGAGUGGCGGACGGGUGAGGAAUACAUCGGAAUCUACUUUUUCGUGGGGGAUAACGUAGGGAAACUUACGCUAAUACCGCAUACGACCUACGGGGGAAAGCAGGGGAUCUUCGGACCUUGCGCGAUUGAAUGAGCCGAUGUCGGAUUAGCUAGUUGGCGGGGUAAAGGCACACCAAGGCGACGAUCCGUAGCUGGUCUGAGAGGAUGAUCAGCCACACUGGAACUGAGACACGGUCCAGACUCCUACGGGAGGCAGCAGUGGGGAAUAUUGGACAAUGGGCGCAAGCCUGAUCCAGCCAUACCGCGUGGGUGAAGAAGGCCUUCGGGUUGUAAAGCCCUUUUGUUGGGAAAGAAAAGCAGCAGGUUAAUACCCCGCUGUUCUGACGGUACCCAAAGAAUAAGCACCGGCUAACUUCGUG